Molecule: RNA transcript, 3100 nt
Organism: Solanum dulcamara
Lineage: Eukaryota; Viridiplantae; Streptophyta; Magnoliopsida; Solanales; Solanaceae
Gene name: E3 SUMO-protein ligase SIZ1-like
Exons: 17
Source: RefSeq, a predicted model, not a curated record
CAAACCCGGAUUUGUUUGCAUGAAAUAAACCGUAUUUGAUAAUGAUGGAUACGUCCGUAAUUUUUGGUUGUAAUCUGAUUAUAGAUUAUAUGAAUUAUUGUCCAAAAGAGUCUGUAAUUUGAAAUAUAAAUAAGAAAAAAAGAAGCUAAAUCGCCGUGAAGCAGCAGCUAUUUGCUGAAAAACCCUAUGUUAUUCCAGGUUCAUCCUGAAGGCCAAAACAUUUGGUAGUGGAGUAUCAUCAGGCUUGUGAAAAUGCUUAGCUGCAAGGAUAAAUUGGCACAUUUUCGGAUAAAGGAGCUCAAAGAUGUGCUUACUCAACUUGGUCUCUCAAAGCAAGGAAAGAAGCAGGAUCUUGUUGAUCGCAUAUUAGCUAUCCUUUCAAAUGAACAAGUUUCAGGAAUGUGUACAAAGAAAAAUAGUGUUGGAAAGGAAGAGGUUGCGAAACUUGUUGAUGGAAUUUACAGAAAAAUGCAAGUGAAUGGGGCAACUGACCUAGCAUCUAAGUCAGAAAUUGUCUCAGAUAGCAGUAAUGUAAAGUUAAAAGAGGAAAUUGAAGAUACUUACCAGAUGGAGAUUCGAUGUCCCUGUGAAAGCUCGCUGCAAGCUGAAACGAUGAUUCAGUGUGAAAAUAUAAGAUGCCGCACAUGGCAACAUGCGAGCUGUGUCAUCAUUCCGGAAAAGCCCAUGGAGGGGGGUUCUCCUCCAGUUUUACCUGAAACUUUUUACUGUCAAUUGUGCAGAUUGAGCCGUGCAGAUCCGUUCUGGGUGACAGUGUCAAUCCCUUUAUAUCCUGCUAAGUGGGUUAUCACUAGUUUACCUGUAGAUAGCACAAACCAAAUGCAAACGAUUGAGAAAUUAUUUCACCUCAGUAGAGCCGACAUGGAGUUAUUGGCAAAGCAGGACUACGAUGUUCAGGCUUGGUGCAUGCUUCUCAAUGACAAGGUAGAAUUUAGGAUGCAGUGGCCUCAGUAUGCUGAUUUGCAGGUCAAUGGAGUUCCAGUACGUUGCAUAAAUAGACCUGGCUCACAAUUAUUAGGUGCAAAUGGUCGAGAUGAUGGUCCAAUGAUCACAGUAUUCUCCAGAGGUGGAAUCAACAAAAUUUUGUUAACAGGAUGUGAUGCUCGUAUCUUUUGCUUUGGAGUUAGACUUGUAAGGCGUCGUACUCUCGUACAGAUUCUCAAUACUAUCCCUAAAGAGCCAGAUGGUGAGGCAUUUGAUGAUGCUCUUGCGCGCGUUCGUCGUUGCAUUGGUGGGGGGACUUCCACUGAAAAUGCUGACAGCGACAGUGACCUCGAAGUGGUUGCGGAUUCUAUACCAGUGAAUCUUCGAUGCCCUAUGAGUGGUUCAAGAAUGAAGGUUGCCGGAAGAUUCAAACCCUGUGUACAUAUGGGCUGCUUUGAUCUUGAAGUCUUUGUUGAAAUGAAUCAAAGGUCGAGGAAGUGGCAAUGCCCAAUCUGUCUCAAGAACUACUCUCUGGAGCAUAUCGUUAUAGAUCCGUAUUUCAAUCGGAUCACUUCUCAGCUUCAAACUUGUGGAGAAGAAGUGUCGGAAAUUGAAGUGAAACCUGAUGGUUCUUGGCGUGCAAAGGCAGAAGGGGAUCAAAGGAGUAUUGGGGAUCUUGGACAGUGGCACUUACCUGAUGGGACUCUCAUUGAAUCUCAGGAUAUAGAGUCAAAACCCAGGCCUGGAAUUCUUAAGCAUGUUCUACAGGAAGGAAGCUCUGAAAGCUGUGGACUUAAAGUUGGGUUGAAGAAGAACAGAAAUGGUUUGUGGGAAAUUAACAAACCUGAAGGUAUGCAGACAUUUCCAUAUGGUGAUGGAGUAAGAGAGAACUUAGAAAAUCAUAUUCAAGAUAUCAUUCCCAUGAGCAGCAGUGCCACUGGGAGUGGCAAGGAAGGUGAAGAUCCCAGUGUUAAUCAGGCUGGUGUCGUUAGCUUUGAUUUCCCUACCAAUGGGUUUGAACUUGAAACCAUUUCUCCAAAUUUUGUCCCAACAUAUGGUUGUAAUGACCGGAAUCCCCCAGUACCAGUUAGAGGUGCUGAAAUUAUUUUCAUAAGUGAUUCUGACGAAGAAAAUGAGCCAUUCAUCUCUUCUGCAUCCACUUAUAAUAACAACCAUACCGAUGCACCUAUAGUCUCUUUUGCGGGUAGGCCUAAAGGAAUUUCAGAUUCUUGCCAUGACAACCAGGCACUUGUUAAUGAUGGUAAUUCAUGCCUGGGGCUGUUGAAUGCAGAAUUUGGGAUGAAUAUGUGGCCUUUGCCUACUGUUAACCAGGCCCCCCCAAGCUUUCAGUUAUUUGGUUCAGAUAUGCAUCAGGGUUCUAUUAACUAUGCAAGCUCUACCAAUGGCUACUCGUUGGCUGCAGAUACUGGCAUUGGAUCUUGUACUCUUCUUCCUGAAUCUUCUGUUGAUCGUUCGAAUGCUUUAGUUAAGAAUACCGUAAUAUGUAAUGGUAUUGAGGGAUCACUUCAUAUAUUUCUUCCUCUACCAUCGGAUGCAUCAGUUGAGGCUGAUGUGGCGCAUCAGCCAGGUGUGUCAACUGGCGUUCACACUGAGGAUUGGGUUUCACUUAGGCUUGGCGCAGGUGGGGAUUCUGCAGUUGCAAAUGGGUUGAACUCAGGGAAGCCGCCGCAAACCAAAGACUCUUCCUUGGAUGCAUUGGCUGACACUGCUUCAUUGCUUGUUGGUGGGAAUGACGGAGUAUCAAUGAAGAGCGGUAGAAAAAGAUCAGAUGGUCCAUUUAAUUUUCGUCGCAAGCGUCGUUCUGUUAGACGGAUAUCCAAAUAGUGAUUCAGACACUGAAUAGGGAGCCAAUUCCUCAUAGGAGGAAUGAUGGUUACUUCUACUGCAAAACUGAGUAUUCAACCACAUGAUAUCUUGUUUGUAAGAUCAUCUCUGAAUCGAUCUUUUUGGCUUGGAGAUGAACAUGCAUCUACCAACAGAGAAACUGACUUCAACUCCUGUGCUGGAAAUUUAGGAGUUCUGAUAGGUGAACUCUCAAACCUCCAGUUUUUGUAUUCUAUUGUCUGGACUCGGAAUCCCCCACUCCCAUACCCUCCUUUGCAUUAUGAAGAGGGCCUGGCCGUAUACUUCUCUUUCA